Molecule: RNA transcript, 1278 nt
Organism: Mesocricetus auratus (golden hamster)
Lineage: Eukaryota; Metazoa; Chordata; Mammalia; Rodentia; Cricetidae
Gene name: H-2 class I histocompatibility antigen, Q8 alpha chain-like
Exons: 5
Source: RefSeq, a predicted model, not a curated record
UGGGAAGUUUAGGCUUUUGGUUUCACUUCCUGCUCUGUCAGUGGCUGUUAGGUUGGUCAGCCACAGUGACAGCAACCUCACAACCAUAACAGGUUUCUAGAGAACCUGGUAGAAGUCUCUAUGAAGACAAAUUACAGAGCACAGGGCCAUAUAGGGCUGUGCUUGGGCUCCCCCUAACCCUUAAGAUGGGGAUCCCUGUGCUCUGUGCCCUCUUGCUGAUGGCUGCCUCCCAAGCCCCGACCAGGACCCAUGCUGGCUCGCACUCGCUGCGGUAUUUCUACAUCAUUGUUUCCUGGCCCGACCUCGUGGAGCCCCGGUACAUGGAAGUCGGCUACGUUGACGACACACAGUUCGUGCGCUUCGACAGCGACCUGGAGAAUCCGAGAUAUGAGCCGCGGGCGCCGUGGAUGGAGCAGGAGGGGCCAGAGUAUUGGGAGAGGGAGACACGGGGAGCCAAAGACUGGGAACAGAUUUUCCGAGUUGACCUGAGGACCCUACUAGGCUACUACAACCAGAGUGAGGGCAUCUCUCACAUCAUUCAGAGUAUGGUCGGCUGUCACGUGGGGUCGGACGGGCGCCUCCUCCGCGGGUACAGUCAGGACGCCUAUGAUGGCGAUGAUUACAUCGCCCUGAACGAGGACCUGAGGACGUGGACUGCGGCUGACACAGCCACACAGAUCACCAGGCGCAAGUGGGACCUGGCUGGUGUUGCAGAGCAUGAAAGGGCCUACCUGGAGGACGAGUGUGUGCAGUGGCUCCGCAGAUACCUGGAGAACAGGAAGGAGCAGCUGCUGCGCACAGACCCUCCAAAGGCACAUGUGACCCAUCACUCCAACCCUGAAGGUAAAACCACCCUGAGGUGCUGGGCCCUGGGCUUCUACCCCGCUGACAUCACCCUGACCUGGAAGAGGGAUGAGGAGGAACUGACCCAGGACAUGGAGAUGGUGGAGACCAGACCUGCAGGAGACGGAACCUUCCAGAAGUGGGCAGCUGUGGAGGUGCCUAUUGGAGAGGAGCAGAGAUACACAUGCCAUGUGGAGCAUGAGGGACUGUCUGAGCCCCUCACCCUGAGAUGGAAGCCUCCUCAGUCCACUGUCCCCAGCAUGGCAGUCAUUGCUGUUCUGGUUCUCCUUGGAGCUGUGACCAUCAUUGGAGCUGUGGUGGCUGUUGUGAGGAAGAGGAGGAGAAACACAGGUAGGAAGGGGCAGGGUGUGAGUUCUCUCUCAGCCCCUUUUAGCAGUGUGCUCUGCUCAUGGAAACACAUCCACACCCUCAUUG